UACGAAGGGGGCUAGCGUUACUCGGAUUCACUGGGCGUAAAGGGAGCGCAGGCGGACCGAUGUGUCAGAUGUGAAACCCCAGAGCUCAACUCUGGGACUGCGUCUGAAACUGUCGGUCUAGGGACUCGGAGGGGCUAGUGGAAUUCCUGGUGGAGCAGUGAAAUGCGUAGAUAUCAGGAGGAACACCGACGGCGAAGGCAGCUAGCUGGACGAGAUCCGACGCUCAGGCUCGAAAGUAUGGGGAGCAAAAAGG
Molecule: ribosomal RNA, 253 nt
Filed under: uncultured bacterium
Lineage: Bacteria
Description: partial 16S ribosomal RNA
Rfam family: Bacterial small subunit ribosomal RNA
Source: RNAcentral